CGGGGCGUGGCGCAGUCCGGCUAGCGCGCUUGCAUGGGGUGCAAGAGGCCCUGGGUUCAAAUCCCAGCGCCCCGA
Molecule: transfer RNA, 75 nt
Filed under: Chloroflexi bacterium RBG_16_57_11
Lineage: Bacteria; Bacillati; Chloroflexota
Also listed under: 6 other names
Description: tRNA-Pro
Rfam family: tRNA
About the family: Transfer RNA (tRNA) molecules are approximately 80 nucleotides in length. Their secondary structure includes four short double-helical elements and three loops (D, anti-codon, and T loops).
Source: RNAcentral